RNAcentral lists this ribosomal RNA (253 nucleotides) under uncultured bacterium. RNAcentral's name for it is "partial 16S ribosomal RNA". It matches the Rfam family "Bacterial small subunit ribosomal RNA", at positions 524 to 776 of the family's 1533-position model. The record is from RNAcentral.
UACGUAGGGUGCGAGCGUUAAUCGGAAUUGCUGGGCGUAAAGCGUGCGCAGGCGGUUCGUUAUGUCCGUUGUGAAAGCCCCGGGCUCAACCUGGGAAUGGCAAUGGAAACUGGCGGGCUAGAGUGUGGCAGAGGGGGGUGGAAUUCCGCGUGUAGCAGUGAAAUGCGUAGAGAUGCGGAGGAACACCGAUGGCGAAGGCAGCCCCCUGGGCUAGCACUGACGCUCAGGCACGAAAGCGUGGGGAGCAAACAGG